RNAcentral lists this unclassified non-coding RNA (448 nucleotides) under Bombus terrestris (buff-tailed bumblebee). RNAcentral's name for it is "misc RNA ENSBTSG00005022035.1". Lineage: Eukaryota; Metazoa; Arthropoda; Insecta; Hymenoptera; Apidae. The record is from RNAcentral.
UAAUAAAUAAGUCAUAAAAAUAAUCAUAGUUCGACUCUGUUAGCUAUACGUGCAAUAAAUAUUUAACUCGUUAAUAUGUACGAUUCUUAUAAUCCAAAUUAAUAUCUAUUUAUGUAAAUCUGUAUCUCAAAUUGCUCAUAUCAUCCUGUAUCUUUUUUUCAAUAUAUAUAUUAUAAAUAUUUGUUCAUAUUACGCGCGUUCCGUGUAAUUUUCCACUUUGGAAUUUCCCACAAACGCGACAAAAUCCGCACGACGACGGUGUUGAGUAAGAGGAACGCCAGCAGGGUGACGAAAACUGCCGGACUGUGGAAGCCCAACAUCGGGUAACUAAUGAUAUGGUAGACCGCGGGCAACGUAAUCGUAAGUGGCAGCUCGCCGACCAUUUUCGCCAAGUAAUAGGCCGAGAGCCGAUACGAUCCUGACAGUCGCUCCUUGUUGAUCACCUCGC